This 253-nucleotide ribosomal RNA is filed under the name uncultured bacterium. RNAcentral's name for it is "partial 16S ribosomal RNA". It matches the Rfam family "Bacterial small subunit ribosomal RNA", at positions 524 to 776 of the family's 1533-position model. The record is from RNAcentral.
UACGAAGGGGGCUAGCGUUGUUCGGAAUCACUGGGCGUAAAGGGCGCGUAGGCGGCUUUAUAAGUCGGGGGUGAAAGCCUGUGGCUCAACCACAGAAUUGCCUUCGAUACUGUAUGGCUUGAGACCGGAAGAGGUAAGUGGAGCUGCGAGUGUAGAGGUGAAAUUCGUAGAUAUUCGCAAGAACACCAGUGGCGAAGGCGGCUUACUGGUCCGGUUCUGACGCUGAGGCGCGAAAGCGUGGGGAGCAAACAGG